RNAcentral lists this non-coding RNA (30 nucleotides) under Homo sapiens (human). The record is from RNAcentral. Lineage: Eukaryota; Metazoa; Chordata; Mammalia; Primates; Hominidae.
GAAUCCUCGUGGUUUAAAUAGACUUUCAGG